This 4110-nucleotide ribosomal RNA is filed under the name Triticum aestivum (bread wheat). RNAcentral describes it as "partial small subunit ribosomal RNA". The record is from RNAcentral. Lineage: Eukaryota; Viridiplantae; Streptophyta; Magnoliopsida; Poales; Poaceae.
AUGGCGGGCAAGUCCAAGGGUGCGAGGAACAAGGCCAAGGCGCAGGCCGCCAGCCAGGAGGCCGUCUCGGUGGAGCCGGUCGCUGAUGUGGUGGAGGAGGCCAAGCCCCAGAACGGGGAAGUGACUGAGGCCCCUGCUGCCGAGGUCGCCCCUGCUGCUGAGGUCGCUGCCGCGGACGUGGAGAAGGAGGAGGGGGAUGCGGCCGAGGCCGCACAGGCUGCAGAGAAGCCAGCUGAAGGAGAGCUUCAUCUAUACCCUGUUUCUGUUAAGACGCAAUCAGGUGAAAAGCUGGAGCUGCAGCUAAGCCCUGGAGAUUCUGUCAUUGAUGUCAAACAAUUCCUCUUGGACGCUCCUGAAACUUGCUUCUACACAUGCUAUGAUUUGAUAUUGCAUACGAAAGAUGGUUCAACACACCAGUUAGAGGACUACAAUGAAAUUUCUGAGAUUGCAGAUAUAACUGCUGGUGGCUGUUCGUUGGAGAUGGUUGCUGCAACAUAUGAUGAGAGGUCUAUUAGGUCGCAUCUCCGCCGUGUCCGGGAAUUGCUCUCUCUUUCUAGUCUUCAUGUCUCACUAUCGACAUCCCUAGCUCUGCAGCAGGAGUCUGCACAGGCGAAAAAUGCAGAUGCAGGAAAAACUGCUCACCAGGAGCUUGAUGGUUUGAAUUUCAUGGAGGAUACUACUGUAGCUCUUACUAAUUUGCUGGCAUCUGCACCAGCAGAAAUCAAAUGUGUGGACAGCAUAGUUUUUUCAUCAUUCAAUCCUCCACCAAGUUAUAGGAGGUUACAUGGGGAUCUCAUCUAUAUUGAUGUUGUGACAUUAGAAGGAAGCAAACACUGCAUCACGGGGAGCUCCAAAUCUUUUUAUGUGAACGCUAGCAAUGGAAGUGUUUUGGAUUCAAGACCUUUGAAACAAUCUCACGAAGCCAGCACUUUAGUUGGCCUGCUACAAAAAAUUAGCGCCAAGUUUAAGAAAGGCUUUCGCGAAAUAUUGGACCGCAAAGCAUCGGCCCAUCCUUUUGAGAAUGUUCAGGCCUUGCUUCCAGUGACUUCUUGGUUGGGAGCUCACCCCGUGCCAGAACAUAGAAGAGAUGCAGCCAGGGCUGAGGAUUCUGUUGUGCUGUCAUAUGGUACCGAGUUGAUUGGGAUGCAGAGAGACUGGAAUGAGGAACUGCAGUCAUGCCGAGAGUUUCCUCAUGCCAAUCCUCAAGAAAGAAUAUUGCGAGGCAGAGCACUCUAUAAAGUGACAUGUGAUUUUGUUGAUGCUGCUGUAAAAGGAGCAGUCGGUGUCAUCAAUAGAUGUAUACCUCCAAUCAAUCCAACUGAUCCAGAAUGUUUCCAUAUGUAUGUCCACAACAACAUUUUCUUCAGUUUUGCGGUUGACUCUGACUAUGAGCAAAUCUCAAAGGACCAAAAGCCAGAUUGCCAAAAUGGUUCUAGCAGGAGUACGCCAGUCCCCUCCCCAGGUUUGGGUGCCAAGGCAGAUUCUGGAGUAGCACCAGAUUCAAAAACUGAAGAGGCAAACAGUGUUUUGGAAGGACCUACAGAGGCACAAAUAGCAGACAGUGAGCAGGCGACCUAUGCUUCUGCUAAUAAUGACUUGAAAGGAACGAAAUCUUACCAAGAAGCUGAUAUUUCGGGGCUUUAUAAUCUUGCCAUGGCAAUAAUUGAUUACAGAGGUCACAGGGUUGUAGCUCAGAGUAUCAUACCUGGUAUUCUUCAAGGAGACAAGUCUGACUCCCUUCUGUAUGGUUCUGUUGAUAAUGGCAAGAAGAUAUCUUGGAACGAGUCAUUCCAUGCAAAGGUAGUUGAGGCUGCAAAGCGUCUCCAUGUGAAGGAGCAUGUGGUUUUGGAUGGUUCUGGCAAUCCUGUAAAAUUAGCUGCUACAGUUGAAUGCAAGGGAAUCGUUGGUAGUGAUGACAGGCAUUAUAUUUUGGAUCUGAUGAGAGUGACUCCUCGAGAUUCUAACUACAUUGGACUGCAGCACCGUUUCUGUGUGUUGAGACCUGAGCUUGUAGCCUCAUUUGUCGAGGCUGAAUCCAUAAAGAAAUCCCCUACGCAGAAAGUUCCGGAUGUUCCCACAGAAUUGAAUGGGCAAGAAUCUGAUGACAUUGCCAGUGGUUCUGAUGCUACGGCUGCUUCUGUGGAGGAACAUGACAAGUCUGAUGAAACCCCUGUUUCUACACCUGCUGAAAGUAAUGACUCGACUGCUGAAAUUCUUUUCAAUCCAAAUGUAUUUACGGAGUACAAGCUUGCUGGCAGUCCUGAGGAGAUUGAAGCAGAUGAAGCUUUGGUUAAAAAGGUUGGUUCGUAUCUGUUAGAUACGGUGAUCCCAAAGUUUGUUCAGGAUCUUUGCUCUCUUGAUGUCUCCCCUAUGGACGGUCAAACUUUAACUGAUGUGCUGCAUAGCAAUGGGAUAAAUGUUAGGUAUCUAGGCAAAGUUGCAGGCUUGAUCAAGCAUUUGCCACAUCUGUGGGACUUAUUUUCGGCUGAGAUAAUUGUUAGGUCUGCGAAGCAUGUUGUCAAGGACAUACUGAGGCAAAGCCCGGACCAUAAUAUUGCACCUGCUGUUGCUCAUUUCUUGAAUUGUUUCUUUGGCAAAGUUUUGGCUGCUUCAACAAAAGGUAGUACUGGCAGCCCGCAGUCGAAAACCCAGAAGAAAUCAAGUCAAUCAGCUUCUUCAAAAAAGGGUCAAUCUGCAUUUUCCCAGCUAACAUCUGACGGAGUUUGGUCUGACAUUAAGGAGUUCGCGAAACAUAAAUACCAGUUUGAAGCGCCGGAUGAUGUGAGGGUUGGGGCUAAAAGAGUUGCAGUUCUCCGCAAUCUUUGCCAAAAGGUGGGAAUAACAAUUGCUGCUCGCAAAUACGAUCUGCAUUCUACUACUCCAUUCCAACCUUCAGAUAUCUUGAAUCUCCAACCAGUCGUUAAGCACUCAGUUCCUACCUGUACUGAUGCAAGGAAGCUUAUGGAAGCUGGGAAAAUCCGGAUGGCUGAGGGAACUCUAAAUGAGGCGUGUGCACUAUUUUCUGAAGCUUUUUCUCUACUUCAACAGAUCAAUGGUCCCAUGCACAAGGAUGCUGCGAACUGUUGCCGGUACCUUGCUAUGGUUUUGUACCAUGCCGGCGACACAGCAGGAGCAAUUGUGCAGCAACAUAGAGAGCUUAUCAUAAAUGAGCGAUGCCUUGGUCUAGACCAUCCUGAUACAGCCCACAGCUACGGUAACAUGGCUUUGUUCUAUCAUGGGCUCAAUCAAACCGAACUUGCGCUGCGACACAUGUCCCGUACACUGCUGUUGCUGAGUUUAGCAUCUGGUCCUGAUCAUCCGGAUGUUGCAGCAACUCUUAUAAAUGUGGCGAUGAUGUACCAGGAUGCGAGCAAUAUGAGUACUGCUCUUAGGUAUCUUCAAGAAGCACUUAAGAAGAACGAGCGCCUUUUAGGUCCAGGUCAUAUUCAAACAGCAGUUUGCUAUCAUGCUCUCGCCAUUGCAUUCAGCUGUAUGGGUGCAUACAAGCUUUCAGUUCAGCAUGAAACCAAGACACAUGAUAUACUGGUCAAACAGUUAGGUAGUGAUGAUUCACGAACAAAAGAUUCAGAAAAUUGGUUGAAUACAUUUAAGGGGCGAGAACAGCAGGUUAUUGCGCAGAAGCAAAAAGGCCAGGGAACUGUCCCCUCUGCUAACGCUGUUGAAUUCUUGAAGGCUCAUCCUGGAUUGUUCCAAGCAAUGAAGGCAGCUGCGAUCCAAUCUGGUGGCGAUGGACCAGCAAAUGUCAACAGAGUAAGAGGAGGUGACGAGCGCGCUGCCAAGGCGGCCGCAGAAGCCCGAAAAACGGCUGUUGCCAGGGGUGUUAAUCUCCGCAACGGGCCUGCUGCGAGCGUUUCUGACAUCAAUCAAAUUCUCAACCUCAUCAACUCUGCUGCUUCCGCGUCUGCUGCUUCUUCUGGCAAUGCUCAGGCAACUGAAUCUGAAGUGCCGCAGUCCAACGGUCCUGCCCUGAAUGGCGCAAAGGAGGCCAAGGAUACAAGCCGUCCGUCGGCCAAGGCUGACGGUCAAGCCCCAGUAGGAUUAGGUGCGUCAUUGGAGCUGAAGAAGCAGAAGUCCAAGCAGAAGGCAUAG